UGGGGAAUAUUGGACAAUGGGCGCAAGCCUGAUCCAGCCAUGCCGCGUGAGUGAUGAAGGCCCUAGGGUUGUAAAGCUCUUUCACCGGUGAAGAUAAUGACGGUAACCGGAGAAGAAGCCCCGGCUAACUUCGUGCCAGCAGCCGCGGUAAUACGAAGGGGGCUAGCGUUGUUCGGAUUUACUGGGCGUAAAGCGCACGUAGGCGGACUUUUAAGUCAGGGGUGAAAUCCCGGGGCUCAACCCCGGAACUGCCUUUGAUACUGGAAGUCUUGAGUAUGGUAGAGGUGAGUGGAAUUCCGAGUGUAGAGGUGAAAUUCGUGGAUAUUCGGCGGAACACCAGUGGCGAAGGCGGCUCACUGGACCAUUACUGACGCUGAGGUGCGAAAGCGUGGGGAGCAAACAGG
This 404-nucleotide ribosomal RNA is filed under the name Verrucomicrobiota bacterium. RNAcentral describes it as "Verrucomicrobia bacterium partial 16S ribosomal RNA". It matches the Rfam family "Bacterial small subunit ribosomal RNA", at positions 355 to 776 of the family's 1533-position model. The record is from RNAcentral. Lineage: Bacteria; Pseudomonadati; Verrucomicrobiota.